GAUUAGUCACCUAACUUAGCACUAUGUCACAUUGUAGUCAGCGGUUGAACGGUCACUCAACUUCAAAACUCGCCACUCUAUCCAUCACCCAGCAUCCCCACCAUUUGAAACUAUCUCACGUGGCUCGACGGCGGCCGACGUGGCAAUCGACGGCGUGAAAAUCGGACAUGGUGGAUGCGAUUUCAAUUUACAAACACGAUCCUUCACUUCCAAUAUGAAAUUCCGUCACUCCAUUACACGUAAUUCAAGGUCUGAGCCCUAGAUUCAUUUCUUCUCUCCCAAUUCGAUUCGUCAGACUUGGGAACACCAGACUUGUGAUUUUCAAUCCAUAAAUGGUUUGAAUCUGAAUGUCAUGUUGGUUUGAAUUUGUUCCAUGUAAUCGGUUUGAAUCUGAGUUCGUCAUGUUUGUUGAGUACUUGAAUCUGAAUUUUCAUGUUUUAGGAGUAUCUUAUCAUCUAUUAAUCACUCGUGCCAUUCCGUUUUGCAUUUAGAAUUGGAUUAGGCAUCUUUUGGAAUUCUUUAUAAUUUAUUCACCAGGCACUUUAUUUCUUUAGAAAGUUUGUAUUUGUACAAUUUUCAAGUUUUCUGUAUUAUUUCCUCAAAUAUGAAAAUAUCUGCCAGAAUAAUAGAAUUUGUUGGGUACUUGAAUCUGAAUUUGUCAUGUUUUAUGCCCCUCGUGGGGUGAUCGAGUUGGUGGAAUAUGUGAGUGCGGAGACCAUUGGUCACGAGUUCAAUUUCCCCUACCAACACUUUCUCGGUCAAACCUAUCGCACCGGACUUGUCUAGUGUGGUUUACCUGACUGACAUGGUUUGCAGGCUAUUGAGUUUGAGGGUUUACCCAAUACGCACUCGAAGGGUAGCGGCUACAGGUUCCCCUAUUAAAAAAAAAAUUGUCAUGUUUUACUCGAAUUUGUUCCAUACUCUGUUAUUGAAUUUUGUUGAAAUUGGAAUUUUGCAAUUGGAAUGUUGGUUGAAUCUGGAUUUGUUAGCUCUUUGAAGUGGACAGAUAAUUAUGAGAUUAUCUUCCACAGUUCCACUGAGUGUUAUUGAAUUUUUUUGCAACUGGAAUGUUGGUUGAGGAGGCUGCAAACUGGUAGUCUUUGUUUUGAUAGGCAAUUAUUGAAGUCUCUGUGUAUUUGUAUGUCAUGUAAUCUGCCAGAAAUUCUGCAUUUAGUAUUGGAAUUUAAUUUAAUUUUAAUGAUGGGGGUGUUAAAGUUGAUGGGGAUUAUGAACAUGAUAUUACAAAAUUUGAUGAUAUUUUCAAGAUGUCAAAUAAGAAAGUCGAAGUUGAUGUAUUUUAUACAAUUAAAGUUGAUGUAGAAGACCAAUCAUUCUGGUGUUAAAUUUAGAGUGAGUGUUUACUUGGUGUUAAUUACAUUAUUUUGAUAAGGAUUCCGAUGUACAUGCGAAAGUUUAAGUUUAUAAACUAGAUGUGCUUGCUUGACUUGAUAGGGUAAAAUUUGAUGUGUUGGGAGAGAGCUGCACGCAUCGACUCUUAGAGAUGGACCAGCAGCCACUUCAUAUAAUAUUCCUACGGACGAAGCUAACUUCGAAGUGUUCGUGGAUAAGCUGCAAUACAUAGACGAUGCCAAAUAUUCAAGGUUGAGAUUGAAAAGGGCACGAAGAAGACGACUUGUUAACACUUUGACAACAACGUCCCUGCAGUCUUCAGGCAAUACCAAACGGGCAGAUUAAUAUUUGAAGGAUAGGGCAGCUUAUUUGGACUCAUAUUGUCUUGCCUUUUUGUCUAGCUAUGGAAUGGAAUGUAUAAAUUUUUGUGGAUAGUAACAUGCCAAGUAAAAAAAAACCUUGCAGUGUUGACGUUGCUUAUAAUGCCAGUAUUUAACAUAGACUAUGUUGUGAUAGCAAUGAUUCCAGUGUGUCAUCAGAUGAAGUAUAUAUUUUUGUUAAUGGUCGUGUUUCAGUAUAGAUGAAAUAGUGUUUUUUGCACCCCACCCACUCGGAUCGCAAAGAAGAUGAGCCAAGCCAAGCUGGCUAAGCAGAUAAAUGAGCAGCCAUAGGUGGUUCAAGAGUAUGAGAAUGGAAAGACUGUGUCAAACCAAGCUAUGCUGGUGAAAAUGGAGAGAGUCUUGGGUGUGAAGCUGAGAUGGAAAGUUGUACAUAAAUGAUGAUUAUAAUUGAAUAUUGAUAUAACUAGUCUUCGUGUUGAUUUAGAACAAGAGAGGGAAAAAGCACAGAAAAUUAGUAUUAGUUUUGAAGAUUGACAGGAAAAUUGAGGGAAUUCAUUGAAAGUGUUUACUGUCAGUAGAAUAAGUGCCUAUAUAUCCUAAAUUUAAUUUCUAGUGACAAAGAAAAGAAAU
RNAcentral lists this long non-coding RNA (2321 nucleotides) under Olea europaea subsp. europaea. Lineage: Eukaryota; Viridiplantae; Streptophyta; Magnoliopsida; Lamiales; Oleaceae. The record is from RNAcentral.